GUAUUGUCUCACAGCAAUGGAAAGCUAACACACCCUACCUUGGGAGAAUUUGCACUUGCUGAGAUAUAUUCCCUCCAGAAUUCUAUGAUUCUUUGCAUUCAGUCUUUCUUUCACGUUAAUGGUGCUCUUCCUCGAUAUAAUGGAGCAAUGAAAUGAGAAGCUUUGCUCUGCCCCAUGCUCCCAUCAUGAUGUGCUGCCUCACCAUAGGCCCCAAAGUAAUGGAGCCAGCUUACUAUUGACUGAGACCUCCAAAACCUCAAGCAGAUAAAAACCUUCUCUUAAAAUAAACCUAAGUAUCUACCAACUGAUGAAGAGAUAAAGAAAAUGUGCUACAUAUAUACACAAGAGAAUGCUAUUCAGUCAUUUGAAAAGAUUAAAGUUCAUCAUUCACUAUAACAUAGAAUGAGAUCACUAUACUACAUGAAGUAGGCCAG
RNAcentral lists this long non-coding RNA (434 nucleotides) under Heterocephalus glaber (naked mole-rat). RNAcentral's name for it is "lncRNA (ENSHGLG00100046348.1)". Lineage: Eukaryota; Metazoa; Chordata; Mammalia; Rodentia; Bathyergidae. The record is from RNAcentral.